Molecule: small RNA, 702 nt
Filed under: Pan troglodytes (chimpanzee)
Lineage: Eukaryota; Metazoa; Chordata; Mammalia; Primates; Hominidae
Description: processed transcript
Source: RNAcentral
AGGGAAGAAACAGUGCUGGGAGAACUGAGGGAGAGCAGGGAAGGCUCCCUGGAGGAGGUGUCUGUGAGUAGGCCUGGACAAAUGAGUAGGAAGUAUGUUCCCAGAAGUAAGAAAUGCUGCAUCCUCUCCCACUCAAAGACUCGAGCUGGGGCCCCUGCACCCCCCACCCCUGACAGAUGUGAUUUCAACUUGUGGACUGAUCAGAGGUGCCAUAUUGACAUGAGGAGACAUGAUUUCUGCAGUGAGCUUUCUUUUGCUGCAACCACGCCUGUUCUAGCCGAUAAGAAAAAAUACCCUUAUUUCUUUCGGACCGUCCCAUCAGACAAUGCGGUGAAUCCAGCCAUUCUGAAGUUGCUCAAGCACUACCAGUGGAAGCGCGUGGGCACGCUGACGCAAGACGUUCAGAGGUUCUCUGAGGUGCGGAAUGACCUGACUGGAGUUCUGUAUGGCGAAGACAUUGAGAUUUCAGACACCGAGAGCUUCUCCAACGAUCCCUGUACCAGUGUCAAAAAGCUGAAGGGGAAUGAUGUGCGGAUCAUCCUUGGCCAGUUUGACCAGAAUAUGGCAGCAAAAGUGUUCUGUUGUGCAUACGAGGAGAACAUGUAUGGUAGUAAAUAUCAGUGGAUCAUCCCGGGCUGGUACGAGCCUUCUUGGUGGGAGCAGGUGCACACGGAAGCCAACUCAUCCCGCUGCCUCCGGAAG